UAAGGAAUAUUGCUCAAUGGGAGAAAUCCUGAAGCAGCAACGCCGCGUGGAGGAUGAAGGGUCUAUGACUUGUAAACUCCUGUAAAGAAGGAAAAAAUUCCCAUUUGAUGGGAGAUGAUGGUACUUCUGGAGUAAGCCCCGGCUAACUACGUGCCAGCAGCCGCGGUAAUACGUAGGGGGCAAGCGUUGUCCGGAUUUACUGGGUGUAAGGGGUGCUCAGGCGGAUUUGUAAGUCAGAGGUGAAAUCUUAAAGCUUAACUGUGAAACUGCCUUUGAUACUGCAAGCCUAGAGUAUGGAAGAGAGUUAUGGAAUAUCUGGUGUAGCAGUGAAAUGCGUAGAUAUCAGAUAGAACACCAAUGGCGAAGGCAGUCACUUGGUCCAUUACUGACGCUAAAGCACGAAAGCGUGGGUAGCAAACA
This 420-nucleotide ribosomal RNA is filed under the name uncultured bacterium. Its description in RNAcentral is "bacterial SSU rRNA". It matches the Rfam family "Bacterial small subunit ribosomal RNA", at positions 355 to 774 of the family's 1533-position model. The record is from RNAcentral.